This 312-nucleotide long non-coding RNA is filed under the name Homo sapiens (human). RNAcentral describes it as "long non-coding RNA NONHSAT224391.1". The record is from RNAcentral. Lineage: Eukaryota; Metazoa; Chordata; Mammalia; Primates; Hominidae.
GAAGCAGGCAGCUACUUCUGGCUAUUGCCUGGCUUGCAAUCACCACAGAUGACCUCUGAGAAAACUUAUGAUCAUCAUCUGUACCUGUGAGACCACAGUUUGAUGUAUGGCAACACUGCUCCACUUUGGACAUGCCUUUGUCGUGGUUCCUGCCUUUCCCAGAGAGCCCCUCGGAGGCCCAAAAUGAAGAGAGGCAAUGAAGUCAAGGGCCCGGCUAUCAUUCACUGACACCCACUUUUGGGGAUCUUAGGCAGGGUGACAGCUCUGAGAGCCAGGAGCCCGAGUCUGUCUCAAGAACUUGCACAUGCCUGU